UGGGGUGGGUCUUUCAAGCUCAUUCUCUUCAGGGAUCUUCAGCACACCAAUUCUGUAGUCACAAUCAACUACAAUCGUGAGUAGGCUGACUUGAGAUGGCCACAUCUUCAAGAGUGAUGUUGUUGGUCCUGAAGAAGAGUCCGGUACUCUGAUGCCUCUGGGGCUGAGAGCUCAGGGUGUGGGCACUACCGAGUUCCUCAGCAGCAUCUGCUGUCUCUUCUGCUCAUGGAACAGCUAUUUUCUUACUUUGACUGUGUGAUUGCAUGAGGCAAGCUGCUCCACGGAACCACCCAGAAGACAUGCUCUGGAAUCAGGUUGACGAUCUCCAAAUGUUAGUUUACAUUCUCAGGUUCAUCCAAACGUUAUCUACCCAAGGGGUCUUGAGAAGAACGAGGAGACAGUGGACAGAGCCUUCUUAUACUCUGACCUGGCCAAGAGAGAGGAUCCUGGUGGGCAGAUUUCUCAUCUAUGAGGCCAAUCUGAUCGUCAAACUGAUGUAAGUCCUGCCAUCUUGAAUUUUCAUUUUUCUUAUUGUUGUGAUGGAAUGCUUCACAAAGGCAGCUUAAUGAAGGAUGGAUUUAAUUUCAUAUUAUUGGGUGGUGGGGAAGGCAUGGCGGCGGGCAUAUGAGGAAGCUGGUCACAUUACAUCUUCAGUUAGGAGGCAGGGAGAGAUGAAUGGUGGGACCCUGCUUACCCUCUCCCUUUUAUUCACGUUGUGA
Molecule: small RNA, 719 nt
Filed under: Rattus norvegicus (Norway rat)
Lineage: Eukaryota; Metazoa; Chordata; Mammalia; Rodentia; Muridae
Description: uncharacterized LOC102551339
Source: RNAcentral